Molecule: long non-coding RNA, 497 nt
Organism: Hemicordylus capensis (graceful crag lizard)
Lineage: Eukaryota; Metazoa; Chordata; Lepidosauria; Squamata; Cordylidae
Exons: 2
Source: RefSeq, a predicted model, not a curated record
GUUUGCCGCAGCCUUUCAUUGGCAGGCUCAGCCGCUUUCAUCAUUUCUCAGAAAAGUCGAUUUCAUUUUCACUUCCCUCCAGCAGCAGUCGUAGCAGCAGCAGCACGCUGGCUGUGUGUGGAAGCCUUCACCCCCCACAAUGGAUAACUGAAUAGGUUGGCGGAUCUUGGAGGCUGCAUGGCGGACGUAUGAAUAUUGCCCAGAUCUUUUAGGAGAAGUAAGAUGUUUGUUCUUGGCAGUACCACGCCUAGGCAGUCUGGGAGAGGAAAACACAUACCUUCUCAAGAAACAACUGGAAACCUUCAUGCAUAACAACAUCAAUCAUGCAAUUCGGCUUUCUAGCACAGGCACUAGUGGAUUGCGGAUUCAGGUUAUUUUAUGUCAAAAAGAGCAAGUUUUUUGUGACUGUGAGAAAUACUGAAAAUGUUUUGUGCUUUUUGCCACCAUUAGCCUGGUAUUCAAUGUGAUUAAUGAUUAUUAGAAACGUAUAAAUAGCA